UAAUACGAAGGGGGCUAGCGUUGCUCGGAAUUACUGGGCGUAAAGGGCGCGUAGGCGGACAGUUUAGUCAGAGGUGAAAGCCCAGGGCUCAACCUUGGAAUUGCCUUUGAUACUGGCUGUCUUGAGUACGGGAGAGGUGUGUGGAACUCCGAGUGUAGAGGUGAAAUUCGUAGAUAUUCGGAAGAACACCAGUGGCGAAGGCGACACACUGGCCCGUUACUGACGCUGAGGCGCGAAAGCGUGGGGAGCAAACAGGAUUAGAUACCCUGGUAGUCCACGCCGUAAACGAUGAGUGCUAGUUGUCGGCAUGCAUGCAUGUCGGUGACGCAGCUAACGCAUUAAGCACUCCGCCUGGGGAGUACGGUCGCAAGAUUA
This 375-nucleotide ribosomal RNA is filed under the name uncultured bacterium. RNAcentral's name for it is "bacterial SSU rRNA". It matches the Rfam family "Bacterial small subunit ribosomal RNA", at positions 521 to 896 of the family's 1533-position model. The record is from RNAcentral.